RNAcentral lists this ribosomal RNA (429 nucleotides) under Gemmatimonadota bacterium. Its description in RNAcentral is "Gemmatimonadetes bacterium partial 16S ribosomal RNA". It matches the Rfam family "Bacterial small subunit ribosomal RNA", at positions 355 to 776 of the family's 1533-position model. Lineage: Bacteria; Pseudomonadati; Gemmatimonadota. The record is from RNAcentral.
UAGGGAAUCUUCGGCAAUGGACGAAAGUCUGACCGAGCAACGCCGCGUGAGUGAAGAAGGUUUUCGGAUCGUAAAACUCUGUUGUUAGAGAAGAACAAGGACGUUAGUAACUGAACGUCCCCUGACGGUAUCUAACCAGAAAGCCACGGCUAACUACGUGCCAGCAGCCGCGGUAAUACGUAGGUGGCAAGCGUUGUCCGGAUUUAUUGGGCGUAAAGCGAGCGCAGGCGGUUUCUUAAGUCUGAUGUGAAAGCCCCCGGCUCAACCGGGGAGGGUCAUUGGAAACUGGGCGGCUUGAGGGCAGAAGAGGAGAGUGGAAUUCCAUGUGGAGCGGUGAAAUGCGUAGAUAUAUGGAGGAACACCAGUGGCGAAGGCGGCUCUCUGGUCAGUAACUGACGCUGAGGCUCGAAAGCGUGGGGAGCAAGCAGG